This 1697-nucleotide long non-coding RNA is filed under the name Pan troglodytes (chimpanzee). RNAcentral's name for it is "long non-coding RNA NONPTRT003727". Lineage: Eukaryota; Metazoa; Chordata; Mammalia; Primates; Hominidae. The record is from RNAcentral.
UGGGGGAGCUGGGAAACAUGAGGCAGAGCAGUCACCUGCUUCAGAAGAGCCCUUUGCAGAUGGAGAAACAAACGCCCGAUAUAUGAUCCCACUCUAUUGUGCGACCCGCCUGGCGUGGUGCCUGCCUGGUGUGUGAUCCACUUGGUGAGGGACCCUGCUGAAGUGUGUCUCAAGCCCUCCUCCAUACCUGUUUUGGCCUCUGCAGAAGUUCCUGAGCCACUGCAGUGGCAAAGAUGGCCCUGUUGCUUCCUGGGCUGAGCUGCAAGGAGAGUGACAGCCCUGUUACCAGCUGCACCCCGAGGUCUGUGAUGGUCACCUUCUCGUCCAGCACAGUGAUGGUCUUUUCAGCGAGGAUGGUGUCUGACAGAGGAGACAGGAUCUGGAGGGCAGAAGCGACAUGACAAGGAAAGGCUUUCUGUGGCCCAGGCAACGCCUCCAGUCGCAGGAGGAAGUGCCAGGGUGCAGGCAGCGGCAGGGCAACAUGUGAGCCAGAAUGAAUGAGAACAGGCCUUUCCCACUCACACCACCUUCUAAAUCAUAUAUAUUGCUUGAGAAAAUGUAAUGCAUUUUUUGCGUAAAGCAAGGUGGUGUCAAGGAGUGGGCAGGUACGGCUUGGCCCUCUCCCCACACCCCACACAUCAGCUCCGUUUCCCACCAUGCUCCAUCCUGGACAGGAGGAACUGACGUUUUCAUUCCACUAUUAGCUUUAUGAUUCUUCUACAGCACAGUGUGUAUUUUGUUUAAAAUUAUUUAUUUUACUUAAAUGAUUUGUUUUUUUCAAAAGCCUUCCUAUCACCAGUGCAUAACGGGUUGGGUGUACUGGUUACAUAUUGAUAGCUUUCGCUCUUGCACAUAAAAACCAAUGUGCAACUAGAAGGUGGAUCCUGCUGGUCCAUCUCAAUCACGCGUGUCACUGGAGGCCACACCGUACACUUUGGGAAACGCAGCGCAUGAUGCCUGGUGAUGAGGAAUAUCGUUGGGCAUAUUCUGAUAAACGUAGGUUCUGAAUGUCUACGCCUGAUGCCCACAACCCAGAGCCUCAUUUCUCCUCUGGACACCUGGAAUGACCUGGAAAAUGAGGCUUAUGUGGAAUUUAGACCCUGAGCUGGAAAUCCUGCUUUUGAGGAACGUCUGUGGAAUCACUUCUUCCUCCUCUCACCCUUCGCCCAAAUGAUAAACAGCUGUCUUAGGCUCCUCACAGCCCCGUAUAACUCAACCUUCUAGAAGAGAUGGGCUUCAUCCUCCAUUCGCCUGCUUUCUCGACCUCUUUCUCUUUUCAAGUUUUGGUGAUAUUUAUGAUGUAGGUCAAGACAGCAGUUUUCCCAGGACCCUUUAAGACCAGGAAUCAAAGCUCCCUACUUGUCCCCGAAUGCCACCUUCACUUUCUGGUCCGAUUGGGACAAUUUAAAUGGUGGCGAGCAUGAGAGAUGUGUCCCCAGAAGAAAGUGGACAAGUGAAUUUAUGACUCAGGAGGACACAGUGAGAAAAAAGAGAAAAGAACCAAGGCUCGCAGGAGUCGAGGCCUCACCAAAAUAAUGUUCAUGUUUAAUGUGUGGGAAGCUGGCCCACUUCCUCUUCCCUGACACCUGGUUUCAGAACGUUGCUCACUCUGAUGAAGUGAGCUGCAUGCUGUGAGCCAAGCUGUAGAGAGUUCCACCCAGCUAGAAGCUGAGAGUGACCUCUGGCCAGCACCAGCG